RNAcentral lists this long non-coding RNA (1179 nucleotides) under Physcomitrium patens. RNAcentral describes it as "long non-coding RNA (PPAT_LNC000677)". Lineage: Eukaryota; Viridiplantae; Streptophyta; Bryopsida; Funariales; Funariaceae. The record is from RNAcentral.
AUACCUCAAUGCUUCCAUAAUUCAAUGACAAUGCCAAUACCUUCUCAAUACAUACAUUCAAAAGUAAAGGAUAUACAAAUUGAUGUGAUAUAUUUUAAACAUCUUAUUGAAUAAGAAAAGAUUCAUCAUUGUUAGGAAGGAUUGUGCUUGUUUUGUGGAGAACUUAAGCACACUACUCAAUAUUGUCUAAAGAAGCAACAAAAUUAUAAAAUGAAGAGUAUAGUUAUCAAAGAAGAUAGUAUGUUGAAAAAUGAGUUUGUCAAGCUAUAAUAAGGACUGUUGUCAUAUUACAUGAAAUCUUGCUUAAGAAUGCACUAGGCACCUAGCUAAAGAAGAUAAAAGGAAUUUGCAACAAUAAGUCCUAAUUACUCUAAUAAAAUUAUAUAUAAAUUACUAUGGAAGCUUAAAAAAUAUAAUUAAGCAUCAAUUAAGUCUAAUUAUUAUUAUUAUUAUUUUAUUUUAUUUAUUUUUGAAAUAAAUUAUAAAAAAAUACAAGAAAAUCCUAAAAAAACCUAAAAAAAUCCUAAAAAAAUUAAAAAGAAUCUUCAAAGAAUUCUAAAAAAAACUUCAAGAAAUUUAAAAGAAUAUUUAAAGAAUCCUAAAAAAAUCCUAAAGAAAUCCUAAAUCAAACCAAAUCCUUAUCCUAACCAAACCCUAACUCUAACCAAAAUCUAAAUCCUAACCCUAAUCAAUCCCAUAUAAUUCCUAUAAUAGAUUUAAAUCUCAAUAAUUAAUGAAUGAAUAGUUGUUUUUAACUCAAAUUUUCUACAUCUCUUCACAAUUAAGUUGACAACAAGUACAAAAAAUUAAAAAAGAUUGAAUAAUCAAAUAGAUGAUAACCUCAAAAAAGUGCUCGGGUGUCAGAUGGCCUCCUUCUCCAACUUUGAUGCCAAUCUCUCAAACCCAAUUAUUCUUGAUUGAACUGUUACUUUGCUUCUAAAAUUUAUAUAAUUAUUAGAAAUAAAAUUGACUACCUUUAUGAAAAAAAUUAUCUCAAUCUAAUUAGUAAAUUGACAGAUAUCUAAGAAAACCUCACUAGUCCUCAAAACCAUGAAUUUUGAAACCAUAAUCUACAAAAAGCUUCAUGCUUUUCAAUCUAACUAUUUAAUCAAAUCCAAAUUCAUAAUACACAUCAAGCAUAAUUAUAUCUACAAAUCUAUAAAAUUUCACAUAUAGAUU